Molecule: transfer RNA, 72 nt
Filed under: Podospora anserina S mat+
Lineage: Eukaryota; Fungi; Ascomycota; Sordariomycetes; Sordariales; Podosporaceae
Description: tRNA-Ala (CGC) (tRNA-Ala-CGC-3-1)
Rfam family: tRNA
About the family: Transfer RNA (tRNA) molecules are approximately 80 nucleotides in length. Their secondary structure includes four short double-helical elements and three loops (D, anti-codon, and T loops).
Source: RNAcentral
GGGCGUGUGGUCUAGUGGUAUGAUUUCUGUUUCGCAUACAGAAGGUCCCGCGUUCAAUUCGCGGUACGUCCA